This 2903-nucleotide long non-coding RNA is filed under the name Homo sapiens (human). RNAcentral describes it as "HSALNT0256828". Lineage: Eukaryota; Metazoa; Chordata; Mammalia; Primates; Hominidae. The record is from RNAcentral.
CCACGACCCUGCUGACCCCCACCUCCAAGCAGGGUACAGGCCAGGGAGGAGGCAGAGCACCAUGGCGCCGGUGGUGGUUGCUGAGGGUUGUUGGGGGAGGACGGAGGGAUGUGGCUGUCCCCCUAAAGCAGCUGGUGCCUCCUGGGACCCAGACUUCAGAGGCUUCUCAGGGUACAGACGGGCAGGGAAACUGGCCUCCCUGGGGCAGGCCUGCAACUUCCCAGGCAGGUCCCCUAGGCAGGUCUGCAACUCCCCAGGUCCCGCCUCCAGUGCCUGAAGUCCAGUGUGCAUUACACUGAGCACCCAGGCAUUGCUUCUCCCCAGGCUCAGCCUCCAGGGCAGAAAUUAUAAAGCCUAGGUACACACGGGCCCCACUUUCCUGUGCCACAGACCCUGAACCAGGUGUCCAGACCCUCACUGCCCCUUAAUUCCUGAAAGCACCUGCCUGGAACACCAGGUAGCUAAUCCCAUACUGGGGAGCCCUGAGCACGGGGCUUUCAGAAUGGGAGAGACAGCUCUCAGCCUUCCUCACUCCCAGUGGUUGUGGGUCCCCACAGGACCCUGAAGGUGCCAUUUCCACUGCCCCCUCCCUGGUGCACCCUCAGUGCCCUGGAAUCACGAGGGAGCUGGGGAUGGAGGCCCCCCCCCCAACCUAAUACCUCUCAUCCAGAGGUGACCUUGGAGUGGAGGGUGCAGGACUAAGGAGGGGUCCCUCCCCCAGCCCAAGGGGAGGCCCUCCCUCUGCCCAAGGGGAGGCCCUCCCUCCUUCUGCCCCUUACACAUUCCCAGCCAACUUCAAGGACUUGGGUCAAUAUUUGCCAGAAGUUCCAUUGACGCUAGCUCCCUUUUGUCCUCAAGGAGAUAAUGGAACUGGGGAGUAAAGGGUUAAACUUCUGGGGGCCCUAAGGGCCGGGAAGGAUGCACUCUGGGGUCAAUUCCCUUUCCCUGAAGUCAAAGGUGUGGGGUAAAGAUCACCCAAGGGCAGAAGUCACACUCCAGGGUGGGGCUGGGCAGGAUUGGAAAAUGGUCCUUCCCUUCUGUUGGUAAGAACAAGAGAGGGAUGUCUACUGGCUAGGGUCACACAGCAAGACACAGAGUGUGGGCCAGGCUAGGACCCCAGGCAGCAUGACUUGCUAGGACUGAGUUUUCUUGCUACUUGGAGGGAGUAAGAGUUCUCCAUCCUUUACUUUUACAAAUAUUUAGUGAGUGCUUCGCUUUCAGCCCUCACUGGGCCCACCACUGGGGUCCAAAGGGGCUGAGGCUGCCCACAGUCUAAAGAAAAUCAGUUGCACAAGAAAUGAAAUGGUUGGAAGAGUUGUGUUUCAAAAACAAUAAAACAAAGUGAAGGAGAGGGAGAGUGCUGGGGGAAGGGUGGAGGGCCUCUCUGAGGAGGUGGCACUAAUCCUGUGAAGUGAUGGAAGAGAAAGGGCCAACUGGGGAAGAUGUGGGGAACAGCAUUCCAGCAGAGGGAACAGCCAACACGCAGAGGCCCUUCUAUAGUAACAAGCCUGGUAUGUUUUGGGAAACAGGGCUCCAGUGGCUGGGGCGGAAUGAGGGAGAGGAGGGGGAAGAGGAGAGGGAAGAAGAGGAGGGGAGAGGAUGGCGAGAGGGUGGCAGGACAAAGAUCUGCUUUUUCUUCUUUUAAAAGCUCCCUCUGCCUGGUGUGCCGAGAAAGGCAGAAGGGUUAUCAGGGAGGCCCUGGAGGAGGCCGGGAAGCAUCCCUGAGGGAGACCGUGGGGCCUGGAUCUGAAUGGGGUGGGAAAAAGGGGUCAGCAUCUCAGAAUGGAGAUGUGUUUUAGAAUCAGAGCCAACAGGAUUUGCUGAUGAAUUGGACAUGAGGGAUGAGCAAAGGAGAGAGUUGUCACGUGCGCUUCCAGGUCUCUGGCCUGAGCACCUGGAUGGAUGGGAGAGCCCUUUCCCAAAACCAAAAUGACUGGAAGAGAAGCAGAAAUGGAGGGAGGAAAAAAUCAAGGUUUUGCUCCAGAAGCCUGAAGUCCUCCCAGGAGGGAGUGAGGCGUCUCUAUCCACACAGAGAGCAUCUGCAGACAGGAGCCAUGGGGGAGUAGUGGUGAGUAUCCUAAAAACUCAAUUCCAGCCAAGGACUGCCACCUCCACUUAACCCUCUGGGUCCCCUGGCAGGUGGGACUAUGGCUCCAUGUUUCAGAGGGGACAAGCAGGGCUGGGGGUCACCUCUGCUCCAGGAUAUCCUCCAGUGCUGUGCUAAGGGCUUGGAUUGUAGAGACUUCUGCUGCCCUGCGUCUUCCCACAGAAGCUCCUAGACUGGGUGGUGCCCACUGUGCAGAGGAAGAAACUGAGGCACAAAAGGCCUGGUUUCCCGAAGUAAAUGGCAGCGUCUCUCCUUGUCUGUCUUCUCCAUCCAGAAUUCAGAUGGAGCAGGGGCGCCCUGGGCCCCUAUAGGCUCCCAUCCCCCAAUCUUGUUUUUUGACAGUCUGGAGUCUGAACUGGAGAUUUAAGUAGGAGAGGGUGGGGCUUCAGUCUUGGGCAGACAAAUGGGGGCUCCUGAGCCCCCCUCAGACACUUUUACCCCCUUGGCUGGUUGGGGACCAGGAGAGAGAAUCCAGGCCUCUAAGGGACUCCUGGAAAAGGGGACUUGGAGCCGUUCCCUUCCCUGGGCGCUGCAGCUGGGGGCGGGGCUGCGACCAAAAGUGGGUAAUUGCACCCCCCAACUCUCAUUUCAGGCACCCCCAUCCGCAGCAGCCUUGGAGGCCAGGAACCCUUUAUUCCUGGGCGCCCGCAUCGGGUGGGGACCGGGAGGAGGGAGAUGAGACGCCCGGACCGGGAGGGGUCCCGAAACUCGAGCAAUGGCCAAAAAUAAUAACACGGAGAAGGCUCUUUGCGCAAAAGAAGGAAGACAAACUAUGCGUCGCUCCGGGCAGCCGGCG